Molecule: long non-coding RNA, 211 nt
Filed under: Elaeis guineensis (African oil palm)
Lineage: Eukaryota; Viridiplantae; Streptophyta; Magnoliopsida; Arecales; Arecaceae
Description: long non-coding RNA (EGUI_LNC062378)
Source: RNAcentral
CAUGGGUCAACGUUUGACCAAUGUCCUAAAAUGAAAAAUGACAGGUGACAGGAAUUGGCAGGUGUUGUCUUAAAUUCAUCUUAUGAAUUAAGAUAAAUCCUUUCUGAGCUAGACUGGCUCUAGUCAGACUGUGAGAAAUCUUCUCAAGAUUCUCUGGGUGAGCCAAAUCACAUUUGGCUCAGUCGAGAUAGAAAAGAUUACACGAGGAGAA